RNAcentral lists this ribosomal RNA (1284 nucleotides) under Triticum aestivum (bread wheat). Its description in RNAcentral is "partial small subunit ribosomal RNA". The record is from RNAcentral. Lineage: Eukaryota; Viridiplantae; Streptophyta; Magnoliopsida; Poales; Poaceae.
AUGUUAGUGCAACCUAUCAAUGUUAUGUGUUGGAAUGUCCGGGGCCUCAACUGUCCGGAUAGACGAGCUACUGUCAGCGCCACCAUUGCUUCUUCUUCUUGCCAUAUUGUGUGUCUACAGGAGACAAAGCUUCACAAUGUCGACAUCUUCACAGCCUCCUUCUUAGGAGGGAACGGACUGCGCAAUUUUGCGCAAAGGCCGGCGAACGGCACUCGUGGAGGCAUUUUGCUGCUCUGGGACGAUCACCUUGUGGAAAUGUCUAACAUCGCAGCUACCACCUUCUGCCUGUCCGCCAUGGUCCGUAUUCGUGACUCCAAGGUGCAAUACAAGCUCACCACCGUGUACGGCCCCGCGGACUCUUCUCGCAAAGAUGCCUUCUUCGCCGAGCUUAUCAGCCAAAAACCGCCCAACGGUAUGCCAUGGCUUGUGGCUGGGGAUUUCAACCAAAUUUAUCGUGCAAGAGACAAAAACAAAAUACAUGUCAACCGAAGUAGAAUUAAUCGGUUCCGAGUGACACUGCAAAGUUGUGAGCUUAAAGAGAUUCACUUGCAAAAUAGGAGGUUCAUUUGGAGCAACGAGAGGGAAAAUCCGACUAUGUGCAAACUGGACUCGUUUUUCUGCAAUGCCGAGUGGGACACCACUUUUAGCACUCAUCUGCUUCACGCCCUCUCGUCCUUGCUAUCCGAUCACUGCCCGCUUCUCCUCGCCGAUGACAAGCGGCCUCGGAGGCCUAGAACCUUCAAGUUUGGAAUUUUUUGGAUUGCUAUGCCCAACUUUAUGGAGGUGGUCAAAAAGGCUUGGAUCGAGCCGCUAGAGCAUGUUGAGCCAUAUCAAGUCCUGUUCCAUAAACUCAAGAAGGUGGCUCUCCGCCUUUCCGAAUGGAGUAGGGGCCUUUUCUCCAAGGCAAAGGUUCACCUACAUGCCGCCCUAUUGGUGAUCCUACGCCUCGACAUUGCUCAAGAGACCCGUCAUCUCUCCCCCGAGGAGAGUGACCUUAGGGCGAGGCUUAAAAGGAGGGUCAUUAGCUUGGCCGUGCUUGAGAGAGCUCGGAAAAAACAAAGUGCGAGAGUUGCUAACCUCAAGGAGGGUGAUGGCAACACCAAGUUCUUCCAUCGCCGGAUUAAUGCUAGAAGGAGGAAAAAUCACAUUCAUAGGCUAAAGCAUGACCAAGGGUGGAUCACCGAGCAUGACGCUAAGGAGAAGCUCAUUCUGGACCACUUUUCUAAAGUGAUGAAAAAAGGGAACACAUGCAAUAAGGAUCUAAAUUGGGAGGAGCUCAACUGA